RNAcentral lists this ribosomal RNA (425 nucleotides) under uncultured bacterium. RNAcentral's name for it is "bacterial SSU rRNA". It matches the Rfam family "Bacterial small subunit ribosomal RNA", at positions 354 to 796 of the family's 1533-position model. The record is from RNAcentral.
GUGGGGAAUAUUGGACAAUGGGCGAAAGCCUGAUCCAGCAAUGCCGCGUGAGUGAAGAAGGCCUUCGGGUUGUAAAGCUCUUUUACCCGGGAAGAUAAUGACUGUACCGGGAGAAUAAGCUCCGGCUAACUCCGUGCCAGCAGCCGCGGUAAUACGGAGGGAGCUAGCGUUGUUCGGAAUUACUGGGCGUAAAGCGUACGUAGGCGGCUUUGUAAGUCAGAGGUGAAAGCCCACGACUCAAUCGUGGAACUGCCUUUGAGACUGCUUCGCUUGAAGAUGGGAGAGGUUAGUGGAAUUCCGAGUGUAGAGGUGAAAUUCGUAGAUAUUCGGAAGAACACCAGUGGCGAAGGCGGCUAACUGGACCAUUCUUGACGCUGAGGUACGAAAGCGUGGGGAGCAAACAGGAUUAGAUACCCGGGUAGUCC